Syzygium oleosum is the source of this 2204-nucleotide long non-coding RNA. RefSeq lists it as uncharacterized. Lineage: Eukaryota; Viridiplantae; Streptophyta; Magnoliopsida; Myrtales; Myrtaceae. The transcript is spliced from 3 exons. The record is from RefSeq and is a predicted model, not a curated record.
UUCCGCGAAUGCAAUGCAGCUGUGAGUUGGUUUAAUCCCAAGAGGAUUAAAUUAAAUGAUUACAAGGGGUCAGGUAUCCACGAAAGUGGGAGGCGCCAUUAGUUUGCUUUAGCGAGAAAUGAAAAAACAAAAGAAAAUCUUUCCCUUUCUUGUGGAUGAUACGAGCCAGAACCAGAGCCAGAGCCAGAGCCAAAUUGGAGUUAAUAUAAGUGGGUGUGGGACUCCCCAAAGGGACAUAUCGAUCUUCCACCAAUGUAAGUGCCGACAGGAUUUUCACAUACCAGGAAUCUCUCUUAAGUUUCUUUUUCAUUCUCGAUUAUUGAUUUCUACGACCUGUAGUUGAUCCUGUUGUCAUAAAAUUAAAAUUUAUAGGAAAAAUAUAAACUUUAUAAAUUAAAAUUGUUUAUGAAUAAUUAGGAGAUUCUCCAUAUUUCUCUAAAUUGCACAUAUUAUCGGCCACGAAAAUGACACACCCAGGAUCACUAUAACCAGAAACUGAAACUUGUAAAUGGAGAAGUUAUCGAUUUGCGUACCUGAUUUGAAAUCCAUCGAACUUGAUGCGGAAUUGGUGACGGUUUCCGAUCGCGAACUCAAAUGCUUCUCCCCUAUACCCCUUGGCGAAACAUUGGCCUAAUGAGAUUUCUACUCACGAGAAGAAAUUCCUCUUUAGAUCCUUAUGUGAGUCAAUUUGUGUACCAUCAGAUUAGAGGAGGGACUUGAGCGCUAUUUAUAUAGUUUUCAACCACGGGCCCUCUCAUUACGGGCCGAGCCGUACUCGGCCCAUACUCGCCAGCUCCAUAUUAGACUUAUUAAGAACCCAUAUAUCUCACCUUUAUUAGACCAAACUAAUUCAGUUAAUUUCAAUUAAUGAAGCCCACAUUAAGAAAUUCUUACACAUAUAUCUCCUUAAUUGUCCAUAUCCUUGAUUGAUCUUAAUUGAUUGCAAUUAAUAUUGUAAUAUAUACAUAAUGUACUUUUCAUCAUGAAAUACAUAGAAAUUAUACAAUUUUCUUCCACAUAUUCUUAUCUCGGUGUCAAAGCUCUUGCGUCUAAGGAAGCGCCCAUCAAGUCUUUAUCCGAUUUAGAUUUGCCGUUCUCAGACGAGCUAGAUCCUAAAAUUUCGUCGCAUUCCCGCCGCCGCAUGCGCCAACAUGCGCCUCUCCAUUUGGGAUCCAUGCCCCUCUCAUGCACUAGAAGCCUUUGCACGCGUAUUGCUAACAUCAUGAACAUGUCAGCGUUGGCCUGGGCACCUUAGUGAUCGCACGUCAUCAGCCACAUUAGACUCAAUUGUGUAUUUACCAUGUCGGCAGACACGUCAUCAACCAUGUUAGAUUCAACCCAUAUAUGCCAUGUCAUCACACACAUCAACACACACGGAAGCCUUUUAUGCAUAGUGUGCACAUGUCGGCCGGUUUUCUCCUUAACUGAUCGAAUCAGUUCGUGUAGCCUGCCGGACCGAUUCCUUUUUUGUUCGGUUCAGUUACUUUUUGAUCGAUUCUUGGAGAUUUUGGAACAGUACUUAAGCUAUUUCGAAAUGCUGAGUCUGGUUUGGGCCUUCUUUUCUUCAAAUUUGUCUUCGAAGGUGUUAUUUGUGGAUUGAAACAAGCUCCUCGUGCAUAGAAUUCCAAGUUUAGCUCAACCAUGGAAUGCCUUGGAUUUACAUUCAAUCCCUGUGACAUGCAAUUUUUGUUCAACGAACAUCUCAUGGGUACAUUCUACUGCAUUACGAAGCUCCAAAGUAUCUUAGUCAACAGUUUUUUUUUUUUUGGGUCAGAAUCUUAGUCAACAGUUUGAAAUUGAGGAUCUUGCAUAACUCAACUAUUUGUCUAGGCUUGGAUGUUGCUUCAAAUUCCUCAGGUUAUUAGUUUUUUCUCAAGAGAAAUAUGCCACUGUUCUUCUUUCUCGAGCAGGACUCAUUGAUAACAAGUAGUCAAAACUCCUCAUUAGAAUAAUGCCAAUUUUGAUGACAAAGAUUAGACUCUUCUUCUACAUCCUACGCUCUAUCUAUACUCGGUUGAUAGUCUUAUAUAUCUCACUGUCACUCAUUUUGACAAUGCCUAUGCUAUUCAUAUUUGUUAAUCAGUUCAUAGCCGCACAUGUACGGCGACUCACUUUGCUACGAUUCUUCGGACUUUCCGCAACAUCAAGGGUACCUUAUAUCAUAUCAUUCACUUUCAUGCUCACUCUACUUUAGAGUUGAGAGC